This 452-nucleotide long non-coding RNA is filed under the name Venturia canescens. RNAcentral's name for it is "uncharacterized LOC122415427, transcript variant X1". The record is from RNAcentral. Lineage: Eukaryota; Metazoa; Arthropoda; Insecta; Hymenoptera; Ichneumonidae.
AUUUUAUCGAUCAUUUCAAACCACUCGAAACGUCUCUCGUCUCAAGCAUACGUGGAGAGUGGAGAUAGCCGGAGCCAACGAAACAAAACAAAAAAAAGGGAAAAAAGAUGUAACGUCAUCGAACGGACCGAACAAUUUUGUGAGCUAAAAAUUUUUUUUAGGACAAAAAGCAAACGUUCCGACUGAUCACGACGUCACAGUGUAUAAUAUAAUGUUGAUGCAGAAUCAGAUUGACUGAUUCGAUUCUACAGAUAUCAAGAAGAAAUACAUAGUUCCGUGAUGCCGUCGUUUGGCUAAUUGGUGUGAUAACUUUUAAAAAAACGCAUUGUCGCGAUCCUUAAGCAGUAUUGUGUACUAUGGUUUCUCUUGGUGUGAUGCAAAAUGUCUGAAACUGCAGUUCUGCUGGAUAAUCAGAUAGAUAUUAUAUUGCCAAAUGAGAAUCUGCUUUAUGA